UGUUAUGGCGAUUCUAUACUUAUAUGACAGUCUCGUUGUUUUUGAAGUUCAAGGAUAUAUUUUUGGUAUAUAAAUAUGUGACUUGAAGCAAUUCGUCAAUUCAUACAAGAAACAAACAUCAACCAUGUUCUACAAAUUGUUUGCCCUGUUCGCUGUUGUGGCUGUGACUUUCGCAGCACCGCGACCAAAUCCAUCACCCCAGCUUCUGGCUUAUACGUCGGACUAUUUGUACCCAGCUGCCGGCGUGCCAUCCUAUGUGUCCCCGUACUCAGCUCCACUCGCUCCUCUCACUUACUCAGCUUACCCUUACGCCGCAAACACAGUAUUUGUUAAAUGAUAAGCUCAUCAAUCAACUAUGAUUCUGUUUUGUCCUGUAAUCAAACUAACACCCGGCUAUUCUUUCUGGUUAAAUAAAUAAUCAUGUUAUAAAUAAAUUGUUUCAUUUUACACGAU
Long non-coding RNA from Nymphalis io (European peacock), 453 nucleotides. RefSeq lists it as uncharacterized. The record is from RefSeq and is a predicted model, not a curated record. Lineage: Eukaryota; Metazoa; Arthropoda; Insecta; Lepidoptera; Nymphalidae. The transcript has 2 exons.